UAAGGAAUAUUGGGCAAUGGACGCAAGUCUGACCCAGCCAUGCCGCGUGAAGGAUGAAGGUCCUCUGGAUUGUAAACUUCUUUUAUCAGGGAAGAAAUCCACUGUUUCUACGGUGGUUGACGGUACCUGAGGAAUAAGCACCGGCUAACUCCGUGCCAGCAGCCGCGGUAAUACGGAGGGUGCAAGCGUUAUCCGGAUUUACUGGGUUUAAAGGGUGCGUAGGCGGGCCUUUAAGUCAGUGGUGAAAUCUCCGGGCCUAACCCGGAAACUGCCAUUGAUACUAUUGGUCUUGAAUUCAGUUGAGGUGGGCGGAAUGUGUCGUGUAGCGGUGAAAUGCUUAGAUAUGACACAGAACACCGAUUGCGAAGGCAGCUCGCUAAACUGACAUUGACGCUGAGGCACGAAAGCGUGGGGAUCAAACAGGAUUAGAUACCCCCGUAGUCC
Molecule: ribosomal RNA, 444 nt
Filed under: uncultured bacterium
Lineage: Bacteria
Description: bacterial SSU rRNA
Rfam family: Bacterial small subunit ribosomal RNA
Source: RNAcentral